UACGGAGGGUGCAAGCGUUAAUCGGAAUUACUGGGCGUAAAGGGUGCGUAGGUUGUCUGUUAAGUUAUUUGUGAAAUCCCUGGGCUUAACCUGGGCAGGUCAGAUAAUACUGAUGGACUCGAGUAUGGGAGAGGGUAGUGGAAUUUCCGGUGUAGCGGUGAAAUGCGUAGAGAUCGGAAGGAACACCAGUGGCGAAGGCGGCUACCUGGCCUAAUACUGACACUGAGGCACGAAAGCGUGGGGAGCAAACAGG
Molecule: ribosomal RNA, 253 nt
Filed under: uncultured bacterium
Lineage: Bacteria
Description: partial 16S ribosomal RNA
Rfam family: Bacterial small subunit ribosomal RNA
Source: RNAcentral